RNAcentral lists this ribosomal RNA (497 nucleotides) under uncultured bacterium. RNAcentral describes it as "partial 16S ribosomal RNA". It matches the Rfam family "Bacterial small subunit ribosomal RNA", at positions 28 to 507 of the family's 1533-position model. The record is from RNAcentral.
GAUGAACGCUGGCGGCGUGCCUAAUACAUGCAAGUCGAGCGAACGGACGAGAAGCUUGCUUCUCUGAUGUUAGCGGCGGACGGGUGAGUAACACGUGGAUAACCUACCUAUAAGACUGGGAUAACUUCGGGAAACCGGAGCUAAUACCGGAUAAUAUUUUGAACCGCAUGGUUCAAAAGUGAAAGACGGUCUUGCUGUCACUUAUAGAUGGAUCCGCGCUGCAUUAGCUAGUUGGUAAGGUAACGGCUUACCAAGGCAACGAUGCAUAGCCGACCUGAGAGGCGGAUCGGCCACACUGGAACUGAGACACGGUCCAGACUCCUACGGGAGGCAGCAGUAGCGAAUCUGCCGCAGUGGGCGAAAGCCUGACGGAGCAACGCCGCGUGAGUGAUGAAGGUCUUCGGAUCGUAAAACUCUGUUAUUAGGGAAGAACAGAUGUGUAAGUAACUGAGCACAUCUUGACGGUACCUAAUCAGAAAGCCACGGCUAACUACGUG